AAAAGGAAAAGGAAAUUUAAAAAAAAAAAAAAAAAAAAAAAAAAAAAAUGUUUAGGUUUUUGGAAAAGGUUAAGUGUCAAAAUCAUUGGAUUAUUGUCCAUGAUUCU
This 107-nucleotide non-coding RNA is filed under the name Nephroselmis pyriformis. The record is from RNAcentral. Lineage: Eukaryota; Viridiplantae; Chlorophyta; Nephroselmidophyceae; Nephroselmidales; Nephroselmidaceae.